UACGAGAGAUACAAGUGUUGUUCGGAAUUAUUGGGUGUAAAGGGUGCGUAGACGGCUUAGUAAGUUGCAGGUAAAGGGUGGGGCUCAACCCCAUUUCACCUGCUAAUACUGCUAGGGCUUGAGGAUGGGAGAGGUAAGUGGAAUUUCUAGUGGAAUUGUGAAACAUGUUGAUAUUAGAAGGAAUGCCAGAGGCGAAGGCGGCUUACUAUUACAUACCUGACGUUGAGGCACGAAAGCGUGGGGAGCGAACGGG
Molecule: ribosomal RNA, 253 nt
Filed under: uncultured bacterium
Lineage: Bacteria
Description: partial 16S ribosomal RNA
Rfam family: Bacterial small subunit ribosomal RNA
Source: RNAcentral